GGACUACAAGGGUAUCUAAUCCCGUUUGCUCCCCUAGCUUUCGCGCAUCAGCGUCAGAAGAGGUCCAGCAGGUCGCUUUCGCCACCGGCGUUCCUUCCGAUAUCAACGCAUUUCACCGCUCCACCGGAAGUUCCACCUGCCCCUACCUCGCUCAAGACAAGCAGUAUCCAAGGCACUUUUCCGGUUAAGCCGAAAGAUUUCACCCCGGACUUGCCUGCCCGCCUACGCGCCCUUUAAGCCCAGUGAAUCCGAACAACGUUCGCACGGUUCGUCUUACCGCGGCUGCUGGCAC
This 292-nucleotide ribosomal RNA is filed under the name uncultured Planctomycetota bacterium. RNAcentral describes it as "uncultured planctomycete partial 16S ribosomal RNA". Lineage: Bacteria; Pseudomonadati; Planctomycetota. The record is from RNAcentral.